Molecule: long non-coding RNA, 2509 nt
Filed under: Mus musculus (house mouse)
Lineage: Eukaryota; Metazoa; Chordata; Mammalia; Rodentia; Muridae
Description: long non-coding RNA chr11:36042878-36045387
Source: RNAcentral
AAAAUGACUGAUAAGACACAGAGGGAUCAGGGAUACUUGGGACAGAGAUGAGUCGAGGCAUGACCUGGGAACUGUUAUCCUUAGGGAGAAGAGGAAACUGAAGCUGAACUGAUGCUAAGCUACAGGGCCAGUGGGGUGGAGGUGGUGAAGAUGCCAGGAAGCUCAUUGAGCUGGGGUCCAGCCUAUUGUCUCUGUCCCAUCCCUCGCCUAGGGCAGUAUGCCCUGAAAAUCCAGAUAGCAUCUUCCCUGAAAAGGCUUGAUGCUGUUACCAUGGAGGGCACCCAGGCUUUCUCAGCCAAAGGGGAUCCUUCUGUCUUUUUUUUUUUCCUACUAAAGCAGCGGUCUCUCAGAUGGGGGUCUGAAGAUUCUAUUUACACUAGUGACAAAUUAGAACCACACUGAAGGAUCAGUUGUUAAAGAUUAUUAAAUAAUUACCUAUACAUAAGACAGAAACCUAGGCGGCUGUCAAAAUGAACAGCGUGGGCUCCUAUUUAUCGGCACGCAUUUAUGUGCACACUGCACGCACACAGACUCAGGGUUGAGUGGAAAAGGAAAAACAAAGAACAUUUUGUCCCCAGCACAUGCGUUUCCAAGCGUAGAUAAGCAUCUCUGAAAAUACAGACGUAUAAGUAUUAAAUGGUAUUUUUCUGUGUGGGAUUUUUGACUAAUUGUUGUUUUAUUCGACUAUUCCUAUAGUUUAGUAAUUGUAGCUUCCUUUCAUAUUUUAGACGCAUAGAAGUAUUUUAAAAUAAGAAAGUGAUGCAACGAUAAUGUUUGGGCUUCAGGUGUCUUGCACAGUGCUCAGCAGCAGAGAUCGACCAGGCAAGGACUGUGUUGAGUGUAUUCUCUGGAACGGGAGCAGGACUUGAAGUCUGGUCCUGCGUAGUUCCAGGACUUCUGUUCUGGGCAGGCUGCUGCUGGCCACUCGUCUGAGAGGAGGAAAUAGAGUUUCCACUCUGGGGGAAGUGGAGGGGAGGGCACGGGAAAGCAUCUCCCAGGCUGUGUGGGGAAAGCAUGCUCCCUAGCUUGCAGACUGACUUUCGGAGGAGGGGGGGAGGGGGUGCAGCUGCUUGUUUCCCCCACAACAGAUAUGCAGAUUCAGCUCUCUCUAUAGGAACCUCUGGACUAUCCCUUUGGACUGAGAGCAGUGAUAACCAGCAAUGAGGUCUCUGUUUUACCUCAACAGACUUGGCAGGACCUUGGUGGCAGCCAUUCACCAAACAUGGAGAAAGUACUGGGGAUUUGGACUGCAGUGAAAUGGACAGCAUUUUAUGCCUCAUAAAUAGAUAAAAAGACAAAGAUUAAACCAAGGCUGCUCUUCUCUACUCUGGAAACAUGGAGGCACGGGAGGAUCCCCCAAAGCUCAAUUCUUACAUCUCCAUUGUGGUUGGCUCUCCAAAAGCCACCUUCUAAGACAGAGGAAUGUAACUGUUUCCAGAGUGAACCAUUCCUGUUUGGAAGACCACAGAGCCUGCUCUUUCUAUAACAUAACUGCUGAACUCCAUCCCACGGGAAGCCAGCAUUUAGACUGUGUGAUACCUGCUGGUUUUCCACUGGCUGGAUAUGGAGGAGUUGGCCACAACCACAGGGCACACAUCAUAGCGCCUCUCUUCUGGAGGGCCUGGCUUUAGGGACGUUCUAUGUUUUAUGCCUCUGGACCUCAGGAUAUGGGGACCGACAGAAGUGGGAACUGUGAGCAAGUACCAAGCACAGAGAGGACUAAAGUGCGAAGCGCACCCCUCAAUUCUGCUGCUGACAUAUAUCCCCGUCUAACACCCGCAUCCUUCUUUAGGCAGGAGGGGCCGGAGACAGAGAUGAGCUUUAUUGCUUCUUUCCAGUCUUGUUAGCAUCUCGUUUUUGUUGAGCUUCUGAAUACCAAGGUUUGCUGAUUUCUAAAGUUAUCUAAAGCUAACAAUGGACACCCACAACUCCUGUGCAGCUGAUGCUACCGCCUGACAGAUGUGAACGCAGGCGCUCAGGGAGGUUGAGAAACUUGUCCAAUGCCAACGGGAAGCACAUCUCAGAGCGGGCAUCCACACCACUGCCUCCCUGAUGCCGAGGCUGGGAGCUUCCUGGCAAGCGAGGCUUUGUCCUGCAGAAGGCUGUGCAGUUUGACAUUCCCUCUAAGGUGGACUGUGGCCAUCAUACUCUAUCUGGACUCAGUAGUCUGCAACUGGGGAAAUUUUAAUUCCAAGGCUGGGACUUCCUGGAACAUUCUGGAACUGAGGGGAACAUCUCACUGAAGCACAUCCCAUAGUUUUCUUCAUUUCUGUUAAUCUCCUUCUCUAGACUUCUGCAAUCACUGUGUAUGUUCACCUGGACCUUACACCCCUGACAGGAAGUGCAGCUUGUGUCUGAGUUUUUCCUUGGGAACCUAAGGAAAACUUGUAUGUGUGAAUCUCUCCACAACGGAAAAUUUAGAUGCUUGGAUCUACUCACAUUCUCAAGCCUAUCAAAUUAAAAGAGAAAACGUGAAUCAGUUUCACUGUAACUCUUGAUUAAACACUUC